AGAAAACAAGAACUUACUGCUAUUACGCGGAAAUGGGGAAGUUUCCGAUUAGACGACAAUCAAGAGACAAAGUCUUUCAUAGUAAUUAAAUAUUUUCUUUUCCUUUUUUAUUUUAAAUUUUUCUUAAAAAUAAUAAUAAUACGGAGAAUCGUCGACUAUAAGGAGAAGGGUUUCAAUUAGAAUUUUGUAGAUCUCUUUCUGUCUUUCUGUUCUUUUAUAACCCAACUCACCAAUUUCCUUCUUCAUUUCAAUACAAUACGUCUGCGUUUCACAUCCAAACAAACAAGGCAAACAGACACACCCACCUGUGCCAUUGCUGUUGGACCUUUUUUUUGCUUUAAUUUUGUUUAGGAGGGAAUUGUUGGUUUAUUUGGCGGGAAUUCAAUUUUUUGUUUGUUUUUAUUGUAAAGAUUUUAGCUGAUUUGGGAUCAAGGAGGACAAUGUUAUUAAGUUAUUUGUAUAGAUAUUCAUAAGCUGCUGUCUUUGUUGUUGUUGUUAAAGAGAAUAAGAUGGGAGUAUCUGAUAAUUCAAAAGGGUUGAUAUUGGCGGUGGCUUCAAGUGCUUUUAUUGGGUCUAGCUUUAUUUUGAAGAAGAAAGGCUUAAAACGAGCUGGUGCUACUGGUACUCGCGCUGGAGUCGGAGGCUACACCUACUUACUAGAGCCACUAUGGUGGGCUGGCAUGAUAACAAUGUUUGUUGGAGAGGUUGCAAAUUUUGUGGCUUAUGUUUAUGCUCCUGCCUUUUUAGUAACUCCUCUUGGUGCACUUAGUAUUAUUAUCAGUGCAAUUUUGGCACACUUCAUGUUGAGGGAGCGGCUACAGAAAAUGGGUGUUGUUGGAUGUGUAUCCUGCAUUGUUGGAUCAGUAGUGAUUGUAAUCCAUGCACCUGAAGAACAUACUCCUAGUUCUGUACAAGAAGUCUGGACUUUGGCAACUCAACCAGCAUUCUUAAUAUAUGUAGCAGCUUCACUUUCAAUGGUGUUAGUGUUGAUUUUGCACUUUGAACCUCGCUGUGGGCAGACAAACAUGUUGGUCUACUUGGGAAUAUGUUCUUUGAUUGGUUCAAUUACGGUUGUAAGCAUAAAGGCUAUCGGAAUUGCAAUAAAGCUUACACUGGAGGGAACAAGUCAGAUAGCUUACCCGCAGACUUGGUUUUUCCUUACAGUUGCAGUGAUUUGUGUCAUUACCCAGUUAAAUUACCUCAACAGGAUGCUAAUUUAUUUAUCAUCAGCUGUCUCAUCUUCAGCAAUGUUUGUGUUGUCAUUGUUCAGGCUUUGGAUACAUUCAAUGCAACAAUUGUAUCUCCAGUAUAUUAUGUAAUGUUUACUACACUAACCAUUGUUGCUAGUGCCAUAAUGUUUAAGGAUUGGUCAGGCCAAAAUGCAAGCAGCAUAACCUCUGAAAUAUGUGGUUUCAUCACCGUACUAUCAGGAACAAUCAUACUUCAUGCCACAAGAGGACAGGAACCUCCUCCUCCUCGAGGAACCGUGACAUGGUACAUUAGAGAAGAUUCAGUCAAGAGUGUGGAAGAACAUUUAAUUAAUGUACAAAGUUCAGAUGAGCGAUGAGUCUGUAUAUAGUGAACCUAUUUAUGCGAGAACAAUUAUCACCACAAUCGGAGCAAUGCUGCAAUCUAUGUUUGCUGAUUAAGGAGCUCCUUGUUUUUUUUGGAAGAACUUUGGCGAAUGAAAAUUGUAGUGGUUUUUUGUGUAUAUCUUUUCUGGACAAGCUGUGGGCGGAGGUCUCGACUUGAAAUGCUCAACUCCCCAAAACCUUUCAAAUUUUGUCAACAGGUCUUGCGGUUGGUGUACUAAGAGUAGCAGAGAAAAUGAUGCACAGAUCUAACAAUAGGUUCAAUGAUGUCCCAUAGGCUGUCAAGUUGUAUUUAUAAAUACUAGUGUUGAUGGAUUCACUUCAUUCUAUAAUUUCAGUUGAUGCCUCUGAUACAAACGUA
Molecule: RNA transcript, 1953 nt
Organism: Ricinus communis (castor bean)
Lineage: Eukaryota; Viridiplantae; Streptophyta; Magnoliopsida; Malpighiales; Euphorbiaceae
Gene name: probable magnesium transporter NIPA6
Exons: 9
Source: RefSeq, a predicted model, not a curated record